AUCAAACCCCUCCAGAUUUGGUUCUUUGGAUCAGCUUCUUCCAUCUCUCGUUAUCCAAGCUCCUCUGGUUGUUUAUGGAGCUUCAGAAGCGCCUAGAUCAUAGUCUCCCAGAGAGGAAAGGCCAUAAGCGGAAACUGGAGGAGGAAUUUGAAGAGGAACGGGAGAUCUCUGUACCUACAGGGGACGCCAAGCAAGCGUUACUCACCGAGGUCAGUGAUCAAGUUGAAAUUCUCAAUUCCACUUUUUCAUGGAAGGAAGCCGAUCGAGCUGCUGCUAAGCGAGCUACUCAUGUUCUUGCCGAGCUUGCUAAGAACGAAGAAGUAGUAAACGUGAUUGUGGAAGGUGGAGCCGUGCCGGCUUUAGUCAAGCAUCUACAAGCACCGCCUACUGUUGAAGGUGAUCGCAGUCUUAAGCCAUUCGAGCACGAGGUUGAGAAAGGAAGUGCUUUUGCUCUUGGACUACUGGCUGUAAAGCCAG
This 477-nucleotide unclassified non-coding RNA is filed under the name Hevea brasiliensis (rubber tree). Lineage: Eukaryota; Viridiplantae; Streptophyta; Magnoliopsida; Malpighiales; Euphorbiaceae. The record is from RNAcentral.